RNAcentral lists this ribosomal RNA (586 nucleotides) under uncultured bacterium. Its description in RNAcentral is "bacterial SSU rRNA". It matches the Rfam family "Bacterial small subunit ribosomal RNA", at positions 338 to 916 of the family's 1533-position model. The record is from RNAcentral.
CCUACGGGAGGCAGCAGUGGGGAAUAUUGGACAAUGGGGGGAACCCUGAUCCAGCCAUGCCGCGUGUGUGAAGAAGGCCUUCGGGUUGUAAAGCACUUUCAGAUGUGAGGAAAGGUGAGUAGUUAAUACCUGCUUACUGUGACGUUAGCAUCAGAAGAAGGACCGGCUAACUCCGUGCCAGCAGCCGCGGUAAUACGGAGGGUCCGAGCGUUAAUCGGAAUUACUGGGCGUAAAGCGCGCGUAGGUGGUUUUGUCAGUCAGAUGUGAAAGCCCAGGGCUCAACCUUGGAACUGCACCUGAUACUGCAAGACUAGAGUACAAUAGAGGGGAGUGGAAUUUCCGGUGUAGCGGUGAAAUGCGUAGAGAUCGGAAGGAACACCAGUGGCGAAGGCGACUCCCUGGAUUGAUACUGACACUGAGGCGCGAAAGCGUGGGGAGCAAACAGGAUUAGAUACCCUGGUAGUCCACGCCGUAAACGAUGUCAACUAGCCGUUGGGACACUUGAUGUCUUAGUGGCGCAGCUAACGCGAUAAGUUGACCGCCUGGGGAGUACGGUCGCAAGAUUAAAACUCAAAGGAAUUGACGG